This 881-nucleotide long non-coding RNA is filed under the name Phoenix dactylifera (date palm). RNAcentral describes it as "long non-coding RNA (PDAC_LNC006627)". The record is from RNAcentral. Lineage: Eukaryota; Viridiplantae; Streptophyta; Magnoliopsida; Arecales; Arecaceae.
CUGUGAGACCUUUAGUAGCAACUGCUCUUGUGGAAUGCGUGAUCCGCAAACUAGGCAUAUAGAUAUUUGGAUAUCCAAUGCCACAAACCGAACUAUAGACGGAAAGAGGAAGGAACUGCAUCGCCAUUGAGCUAUGGUUUGGAAUGUUUCACUGUGAAGAGGGAAAGACAUGCCAAGAAAUUAAGAUCGAAGGAUAAAAACAAAUGGGAGAAAAGUGAAACAAAAAAGUAGGAGAAAGAAAGCAUAAGUGAAUUUGUUUUCCCCUUGGCACCUCGUAUAACAUAAUCCUGGCUCUGCCCCUAAUCAUGCCAUUAAAGUUGGCCAUUUUGUCCGCUUGAUACAGAUACAAGAGACAUUCAAAACAGAUGUUUCUUUGCUUUUAGUUUUAUCAAAUGUUGUAGAUCAAACAGGACCCAUGCACACCGUGCCUAUCAUGAAAUUUGCACUGGUACGAUUGAAGGUUCAAUAGUACCACAAGAAUCUUAGCUCAACACUCUCUAGAUACCUAUUUGUGUGUUUGUGUGCCUGGUUGGCUCAAUCGCCCUUAAAAGGUGAGAAACUCUAUACUUUAAAAGGUGAGAAACUAUGCAUACCCUCUUGAGAGCUUGAAACUUGCUCGCAUGCCCCUUUAUGACAACCUAAUUUGGCUUUAGCAAGGAUUCUAAUAUCUAUGAACAAUCAAACAUAGCGAGACAGGGUGAAAAAUGAAAGAGAAGCAUUACCAACGUACGGCGAAUGGACACAGAUCAGAGACGGCACCAAGGAGAACCAAGAGAGAGAACGAUGAAGCUACGGUGGGGAAGGGAGAAACAACGUAAAUAAAUAGGCGGGAACACUCAGCAUGACCGCAUCCGAAUGCUAGGGCCCAGUUUGUACGAAUC